Non-coding RNA from Aedes albopictus (Asian tiger mosquito), 47 nucleotides. The record is from Rfam. NCBI's taxonomy places the organism in Eukaryota, Metazoa, Arthropoda, Insecta, Diptera, Culicidae.
CAAACGGUUCUUCUCAGGACCAUCGAAAAUUAUUCCUCGAGAGUUGU